This 869-nucleotide long non-coding RNA is filed under the name Struthio camelus australis. RNAcentral describes it as "lncRNA (ENSSCUG00000005534.1)". The record is from RNAcentral. Lineage: Eukaryota; Metazoa; Chordata; Aves; Struthioniformes; Struthionidae.
CAUACAUGUGCAUGUCAGCAUACAAAGACAUAACAAGAUUAUGUCUUCCAUUAACAAACUACAUCCCCUAGCACUCUAUAUCUCCUUUAAUACAACACAGUACACUUCAGAAAUGAACUGAAAUAAUGAAACAAUUCAUUUUCAAUUUCUUCGUGCAGUGAAUGUUGGGAGGAAACAUGCACAACAUUGAAGGAGAUAUAAGACAAAUCUCACACUUCCCCUUCUAUAUAAACCACAUAGUCCCAAAAGACAAGCCCUUUCUGAGGACACCAUAACACUUCUUUUGGCCGCUUCUUUCCACUUCAGGAGCUUGUGGCACUUUUUCUUCAUUUUGAGAAUCCCACAGCUCUUUUUCCAGACUGCCUGUGCCAGUUCCCUCUGCCAAGCCUAGAACCCAGCCCUUCCCUGCUGAGCCUGGGCUGCUCCCUGAUCUUCUGCUGUGUUGGUCCUUCUGCUGCAAAGGAGGUGACUUGUUCCACACAACUGCACUCUGCUUACAAGGGGAACUCGUCUGUCUCGGUGCUUCCUGCUCGACCUCUUCAGUGCCAUGAACACCGCCAGGACCUUCUGCCCCAUCCAAGGGUGAGCGCAUGGGGCAUCUCCGGCUGGUCCCACAGCAGUGGCUCUCUGGAGACGCAAGGCUGCUGACUGCACCUCCCGAAGGGUCAUGCCACGUUCUCCCCAGUUUUCACAGACCACCCCUGCCACACAUUACUGUGCCUGAAGAUACAUCCUGUGUGAAAAGACUUAUUGUUCAUACAUUGUUAAGAAAAGAGGGACAGUACAAGAAUUUUCAAAAACACCUUCUCCAGCUUUUGCAUAGAUUCUGUCUAGAACAACACUAUACUAAUUUGGACACCAUCAUUUGA